AGGAUGAACGCUAGCGGCAGGCCUAAUACAUGCAAGUCGAACGGUAAGUAUGAUAGCAAUAUUAUACGAGAGUGACGUACGGGUGCGUAACACGUAUGCAACCUACCCCUUACAGGCGGAUAGCUCGGGGAAACUCGAAUUAACCCGUCAUAAUAUAAUUGAAUGGCAUCAUUUGAUUAUUAAAACUCCGGUGGUAAAGGAUGGGCAUGCGUCUGAUUAGUUAGUUGGCGGGGUAACGGCCCACAAGACGAUGAUCGAGUAGGGGAACUGAGAGGUUGACUCCCCCACACUGGCACUGAGAGUACCGGGCCAGACUCCGUACGGGAGCAGGCAAGGUAAGGGAAUAGUUGGACAAGUGGAUGGACAAGGUUCAGAACCAGCCAGUCGCCGCGUGACGAAGGGAAA
RNAcentral lists this ribosomal RNA (405 nucleotides) under uncultured soil bacterium. RNAcentral's name for it is "bacterial SSU rRNA". It matches the Rfam family "Bacterial small subunit ribosomal RNA", at positions 26 to 414 of the family's 1533-position model. The record is from RNAcentral.